Molecule: ribosomal RNA, 459 nt
Filed under: uncultured bacterium
Lineage: Bacteria
Description: partial 16S ribosomal RNA
Rfam family: Bacterial small subunit ribosomal RNA
Source: RNAcentral
AUUGAACGCUGGCGGCGUGCCUAAUACAUGCAAGUCGAACGGAAAGGCCUCUUCGGAGGUACUCGAGUGGCGGACGGCUGAGUAACGCGUAGGAAUGUACCCCAAAAUGAGGAAUAACUGCCCGAAAGGGUAGCUAAUACCGCAUGUGCUCUAAGGAGUAAAGCUUCGGCGCUUUGGGAACAGCCUGCGUAAGAUUAGCUUGUUGGUGAGGUAAUGGCUCACCAAGGCGACGAUCUUUAGCUGGUCUGAGAGGAUGAUCAGCCAGACUGGGACUGAGACACGGCCCAGACUCCUACGGGAGGCAGCAGUAGGGAAUUUUCCACAAUGGACGAAAGUCUGAUGGAGCAACGCCGCGUGCAGGAUGAAGGCCCUUGGGUUGUAAACUGCUUUUAUAUGUGAAGAAAAUGACGGUAGCAUAUGAAUAAGGAUCAGCUAACUCCGUGCCAGCCGCCGCGGUAA